This 366-nucleotide ribosomal RNA is filed under the name uncultured bacterium. RNAcentral's name for it is "bacterial SSU rRNA". It matches the Rfam family "Bacterial small subunit ribosomal RNA", at positions 105 to 476 of the family's 1533-position model. The record is from RNAcentral.
GGUGAGUAAUGCCUAGGAAUCUGCCUGGUAGUGGGGGAUAACGUCCGGAAACGGACGCUAAUACCGCAUACGUCCUACCGGAGAAAGCAGGGGACCUUCGGGCCUUGCGCUAUCAGAUGAGCCUAGGUCGGAUUAACUAGUUGGUGGGGUAAUGGCUCACCAAGGCGACGAUCCGUAACUGGUCUGAGAGGAUGAUCAGUCACACUGGAACUGAAACACGGUCCAGACUCCUACGGGAGGCACAGUGGGGAAUAUUGGACAAUGGGCGAAAGCCUGAUCCAGCCAUGCCGCGUGUGUGAAGAAGGUCUUCGGAUUGUAAAGCACUUUAAGUUGGGAGGAAGGGCAGUAAAUUAAUACUUUGCUGUU